RNA transcript from Zea mays, 2216 nucleotides. RefSeq lists it as uncharacterized. The transcript is spliced from 8 exons. The record is from RefSeq and is marked provisional. Lineage: Eukaryota; Viridiplantae; Streptophyta; Magnoliopsida; Poales; Poaceae.
UCAUCCCUUCCUUUCCACGGCCCGGUCGUCGACUGUCUCGCGCUCCACUUUCCACGGCGAAUCCAUUCUUAAAUGAUCUACACUGCUGCAUAAACCCCUGCGGCCGGGUAGUCUCGAAGACUCCACCUAAAACGGCCAGGCCAGACUUGGUCGUGCCGGCGUGCGGCGUGCCCCCGAGCUAGCUGUGGACCUGGGAGCCACGACGGCGAUCAUGGGCUCUUCUUCCGGGGCGCCGCUGCUCGUCGCUCACCCGAGCCGGGGGAAGGAGGACCUGGGAGAUCAGCGCCGCCUCCGCUGGUGCUGCGGCGUUUCGUCGGAAGGGCGGUGGGCGGAGGCGACGGCGGAGGCCGGGCGGCUGGCGGCGCUGGCGGCGCCCAUGAUCGCCGUGGCGCUGCUGCAGCUCAUGAUGCAGGUCAUCUCCACCAUCAUGGUGGGCCACCUCGGCGAGGUGCCCCUCGCCGGCGCCGCUAUCGCCGGCUCGCUCACCAACGUCUCCGGAUUUAGCGUCCUCAUGGGACUGGCAUGCGGAUUGGAAACUAUUUGUGGACAGGCCUUCGGGGCAGAACAGUAUCAUAAGGUAGCUUUAUAUACCUACCGGUCUAUAGUCGUACUCCUUAUUGCGAGUGUACCCAUGGCCAUUUUAUGGGUUUUCCUCCCAGACGUACUUCCUCUCAUAGGUCAGGAUCCACAAAUAGCGAUUGAGGCCGGGAGGUAUGCCUUGUGGCUUAUCCCUGGUUUAUUCGCCUUCAGUGUGGCUCAAUGCCUUUCAAAGUUCCUCCAAUCUCAGAGCUUGAUUUUUCCCCUGGUUCUGAGCUCCUUGACUACACUCGCUGUCUUCAUUCCUUUGUGCUGGUUCAUGGUUUACAAAGUUGGGAUGGGUAAUGCUGGAGCUGCUUUUGCAGUCAGCAUCUGUGACUGGGUUGAAGUCACGGUUCUUGGUCUUUAUAUUAAGUUCUCACCUUCUUGUGAGAAAACUCGUGCUCCAUUCACGUGGGAAGCUUUUCAAGGGAUUGGCAGUUUCAUGCGGUUGGCUGUACCUUCGGCUCUUAUGGUUUGUCUUGAAUGGUGGUCAUAUGAGCUGCUUGUUCUGCUUUCUGGGAUGUUACCAAAUGCAGCACUUGAAACUUCUGUGCUCUCUAUAUGUAUCUCUACAGUAAUACUGGUGUACAAUCUCCCAUAUGGCAUCGGAACAGCUGCAAGCGUGCGUGUGUCAAAUGAACUAGGCGCGGGGAACCCAGAUAGUGCCCGCUUAGUAGUAGUUGUCGCCUUAUCCAUUAUAAUCUUCACGGCAGUUCUGGUGAGCGUAACUCUUCUAUCGUUGCGCCAUUUCAUCGGAAUUGCUUUCAGCAAUGAGGAGGAGGUUGUAAAUUAUGUCACCAGAAUGGUACCGUUGCUUUCGAUUUCAGUUAUUACUGACAACCUCCAAGGAGUCCUUUCAGGUAUUUCUAGAGGCUGUGGUUGGCAGCAUUUAGGCGCCUAUGUUAACUUGGGCGCGUUCUAUCUUGUUGGCAUUCCUGUGGCGCUCGUUGCCGGUUUUGCUUUGCAUCUAGGAGGAGCUGGGUUCUGGAUUGGUAUGAUAGCUGGUGGAGCCACACAGGUCACUCUCCUAACAAUCAUUACUGCAAUGACAAACUGGCGGAAGAUGGCUGACAAAGCUAGAGAUAGAGUAUAUGAGGGAAGUCUGCCUAUACAAGCAAAUUGAUUAUUACGAACUUGAAGUCAUAUCCGAUUAUCUCCAAAUUUCGCUGCAUCCUAGUUGUUUGUUGAAAGAGCUAUCCAUGCCACGGACACCCUACCCCCCACCCAAAAAAAAGUUGGCAAUGAAAGUCGUAAAAGAUGGGCUAUUUUUAUACCUACUUUGAACUAGGUGAUGAUGAGAACCGUCUUAUCUUAUAGGACCUGUUUGGUUCAGUCCCAGUAGACCUGUCUGGCCUAGGCAGCGUCCCAGGCCAUUGAUUUUGGACGCUUGAGGGCUACAAUGGAAUGGCUGCAUGCAUAUCUGCCUGGUAGGCUGCAAUCCAGACGUGCCCAUAGUCUACGGUGCAAGCAAACAGCUAUACUAUACGAUCUAUUGAUUAUCACCUUAGGGAUUAAUGCACAAGUAGGAUGAAAUUUGAUAUGACAGUCAUGUUAAUGAGAAGAGAAUGAGUAUAACAACAUAUGAAUUGGGGCAAAGGUCCUUGUUAUAUGUCCUUAUAUUUUUUAUAUUUCUUUUA